GCAACUCUGGGGGAAAAGCGUUCUGUGAUUGGACUGCAAGAGCAGAAGAUUUAGACAAACACGUAUCAGCAGUUACAGCGCGAUAGGGCGGGACUAUGCUUUGGAUGAUGUUCGGAGAAAAGAUGCUAAAAUUGGCUCUCAGAUUGAAUGAACUGAAUGAAUAUACAGGUUAUGGUUUGCCCUCGUUUCUUGGACGAAGGGACCAAUGCAGUGAGCACUGUGUCAACCAGCUGGAUAACUGACUCUGACCCAACAGAAACCUCCCCGCAGUCCUUCUAAAGUUAUCUGGCAAGGUGAAACUGGGGAAGGAAGGCACCAUCACUGUCUCAGUCCGUUGUUGGAAGACUGCAAAAGCACAAUCUACAGCCAGUGGGACGGCACGAGUGCUACUGAUGGAACUCUUUAAUGUUGAUGUUUUUCUGAACUUUAAGCAUACCUUUAUCUGUUUUUGUAUUAUACAUAUAGUAGUAUAUGGUAGUAUAUAUUCUUGAAUUUAUAGUGAAGUGUAUUGUUAAAUAUAUAAUAAAAUAAAUUGUGAUGUGUGGUAAUAGAUGGUAUGUGUAUUAUUGAUAGUAAUAUAUUAAAAUAUAUUCUUGAA
Astyanax mexicanus (Mexican tetra) is the source of this 598-nucleotide long non-coding RNA. RefSeq lists it as uncharacterized. Lineage: Eukaryota; Metazoa; Chordata; Actinopteri; Characiformes; Acestrorhamphidae. The record is from RefSeq and is a predicted model, not a curated record. The transcript has 2 exons.